This is a long non-coding RNA of Brienomyrus brachyistius, 2931 nucleotides long. RefSeq lists it as uncharacterized. The record is from RefSeq and is a predicted model, not a curated record. The transcript has 4 exons. Lineage: Eukaryota; Metazoa; Chordata; Actinopteri; Osteoglossiformes; Mormyridae.
UAAAAUGGCGCCUUAGUGAGCGUUAAGGAUGAUCAUGUUUGUGUAGAAGUUGUAGGAACUGUUGGGCCUGGCUGGGUGUUGUUGCGGUUGUGGUUAUCCGUUUACGAAUAUAUUAGUAUUGAUGAGAAGUAGUAUGUUUAGCUCUUCUGUAAAAGAUGCGAUACAUUCGGUUAUUUUCAGGUGUUUCGAUUCAAUUGUAUUUGUUUAUCGCGGAGAAAAUACCUGACCCGUCUAAUCGGCUUUCCUAACCUGGCGUAAUUUGUGAAACCUGGUCAUCGUUCUGAAAUACACUGACCUGGUCUUGCAGAAUCUCCCUGAUGGAUGCACCCAUACUUGAAGCUAUUGGAUCAGCAGUGGGGUACAGUAACCAUUCUCCAAACCUGUCAGCCAGGUUCAUUCAAGUUAUUCAAGUGUACUGUUCAUCUUCUAUGAAUGCCCUCACAUGUCAAGCAAGCGCUAGACCUCCCAAGUCGGAGGUAGGGGCAAUUCCAUGGUGGGAUCGCAUUUUUACUGGAGCCUUAGGACUGCAGAAGCAACCUUCUACUUGAAGAAGGAUCUCAUCUCUUUACUGCCAUCAGAACUCCUGACCUGCAUCCUAAUAAUUCUGGGUUUGGUGGAGUUGUUUUGCUUGUGCUUGUCUAGUUUUCAAGGUGUUUGUUCUGUAGGGCGUCUUCCCUUAAGUGAUGCUGAAGUGUUCUCUAACUCCUGUUGCUUCCUCCUGCCAAGCAGGUGUGCAAAUAUAAGGGUUAACACUUGAGGCUUAGAUGCAAUUGAAUUUAUUUUCAUGAACCUGUAAUCACAUUAACAAAGAUGUUUUAACUUUCUGAGUUGCAGCACAAUUGAGGUAUAAAUUAAUAUAACAGCUCAUGAUUGUUGGUGAUUUUUGUCACACAACAUUGAACUACCGUACAAGUGACUAGUCCGUCCAUCUAUUUUCCAAACCGCUUACGCUACUGGGUCGUAGGGGGUCUGGAGCCUAUCCCAGAAGCAAUGGACACGAGGCAGGGAACAACCCAGGACCGGGGGCCAGCCCAUCGCAGGGCACACACACCAUUCACUCACACAUGCACUCCUAUGGACAAUUUCGCAACUCCAAUUAGCCUCAGCAUGUUUUUGGACUGUGGGGGGGGAACCGCAGUACCCAGAGGAAGCCCCACAACGACAUGGGGAGAACAUGCAAACUCCACACACAUGUAACCCAGGUGGAGACUCGAUCCUGGGUCCGCGAGGUGUGAGGCAACAGUGCUAACCACUGCACCACCAUGCUGCCCCUACAAGUGACUAGUUAGCAGUGGAAAUCAGAAUUUGAAUGCCUUGAGGGGAAAAAGCUUUUCCUCCGUCUCUUGGAUUUGGCUUUCAGGCUGCAGUAGUGUUUUUCUGACUAGUGAGAAGAGGCCAGUGUUGGGGUGGGUAGGGUCUUUUAUUUUCAGCGUUUUGUCCCUGCAUUGCUUCCUGUUGGUGCCCUGCAGAUUCGGGAGCUUAAUGUAUCAGCAGUGAGAACGCGUCUCUUCUCCUUUUCUAGAACUUUACGUGCAAUUUGGACAUGGCUCUUUUGGCUGUCAUCCUCAUUGCUGGUAAACAUUGAAUGGGAAGCCUUUCACUUCCCCUAAAGAAGUUGUAUUAACACUGUAUGUCAACACACUUGUUUACUCAGAGUGCAGCCCUGGUUGCUUGUCUUUCCGGAAGUUAUAGCUGCUUUUGUGCUGCAUUUUGGAGGAGAACUGUGAUGCCAAACUAUACACUCCAUAAAUUGAGAUGCAUUAAAUGUACAAGCAUGGUUUAAGUAACUUUGACCUAGUUAUGCUUAAAACUAAAAAACAUUAGUUGGUGGGUUCUUCAAGAAAUCUACAGUGAUUCCCCGCCUAUUGCGGAAGAUGCGUUCCAGACCCAUCAGCGAUAGGUGAAAAUCUGCGAUAUAGAAAGACCAUAUAAAUAAACUUUUUUUUUUUUUUUUUUUUUAUAAAUAGUUUAAGCCUUAAAUCGUAGCGCUUAAAACAAAACAAAGUUUGCUCACAACAAUCAGACCACAAGCAAGGUACGUGGUAUGCAGAGUACUGAUACGUCAGGGAAAAAUCCGUGAUAUAGUGGGAGUGUGAUAGCGGAACCCCCAUAUAGCGGUAGUGUGAUAGGGGGGGAUCACUGUACUGACUGGGUAACAUUUUCCCUUCCUAGGCACGCUGUGCUAGGAGCCUGCAAGACCAAUGCAAUAGUUUAAUGUAGCCAUGCACCUUCAUGUGUGUGUAACCAGACAGUCCAGAUUUAAAAAAAAUAUGUUCAACUUCAUAGUGUCUAGCUAGUUUAAUUUCUUUGUCUUACGCUUCAAUUGUCUGCUAAUGCCCGAGUCUUUCAGGUGCAAAUUGUCAUACCUGAACAUAACCACUAGAUGGUGUUAUAAUGGAAUUGGUCACCUAUGCUCUGGGUGGUGGCAGAAUGUAACUAUGGGUAUUCAAAUGCUUCUGUAAAUAUCCCCAUUUUCCCUCUGUUAGUCCACUCUCUGAAAAUGGAAGAUAAUGGGCGUAUUGGAAGAGGGGCAUUUGCUUUGUUGCCUUGCAAUGUUUUGAUGUCAUUAUGAAGCGUAUGUGAAUGCAGCAGCUGUUUCUUGGAUGGAUUUUAAUGUCUAAUUUUAAUAACCAUUUGCUUACAUGUGAUUUAAAUAUCGACUGCUCUGUUACUUUUUUUGUCAUUUCUUUGUGUUCUUGCCUGUACUCCAAAGCUCUUUUUACCUAAAAUGGAUUAUAUAAUAUAGUGUUUUUGAUGAGCUGCCUUAUGUAGCCUACCUUAACAUCAGCGCAUCUGUGUAAAAGCAAAUUUCAGUACUUACAAAUGAGAAAUCACACUGCUAAUGGCACAUUAAAGAAAAUGUUGGAUUUACAUACCAAAAUGUUAAAGUUUAAGGGUUAAAAUCAAUAAAAUUAGUGAUGUCUAAAGGAA